GCCGCCCCGUCCUCUCUCUCUCUCUCUCUUUUUUCUACAUCUUCUUCGGGAAUUUCAUUGAAAGGGUUAGAGAAGCUUGCCAUUUUUCUGUGUCUGCCAUUAUUGUGGACAUCUUCUCUGCGAUCUUCACCUUCUUCUUUGCAUUAGACGAGGUCGCAAGCACAGGCUGCAGGGGUUGCUUACUCACAUCCACUGAGUAACAUUAUGAAUCGAAUGGCAUAUUUUGGACCCAAAACGGGAGUACAACCACUUUUGGAUGGUGUACUUAGUUAUUUGCCUUGUCCAACUGAAGUCAGUAGCUAUGCUCUUGACCUAAGUAAGAAUGAAGAGAAGGUAUUGGGUUGAUGAAAAUAAAUUUUUGUCCUGAAUCUUUUGUACUUUCAUCUCGUCUAAAAAAAUCUUUUGUACAAUCAUCUGUUUGAUAAUAUAUUUCCAUGUUAAUAUUACGUUAGUUUCAAGACAUUUGUGGUGUUGUUAAUUAAUUACAUUUGUGGUAUUGUGUUAGUAGAGCUAAAAUUAUUAUAGGUCCUUUGUAA
This is a long non-coding RNA of Quercus lobata, 536 nucleotides long. RefSeq lists it as uncharacterized. NCBI's taxonomy places the organism in Eukaryota, Viridiplantae, Streptophyta, Magnoliopsida, Fagales, Fagaceae. The record is from RefSeq and is a predicted model, not a curated record. The transcript has 3 exons.